Molecule: ribosomal RNA, 496 nt
Filed under: uncultured bacterium
Lineage: Bacteria
Description: bacterial SSU rRNA
Rfam family: Bacterial small subunit ribosomal RNA
Source: RNAcentral
AUGAACGCUAGCGACGGGCCUAACACAUGCAAGUCGAGGGGCAGCACAAGGAGCAAUCUGAGGUGGCGACCGGCGCACGGGUGAGUAACACGUAUGCAACCUGCCUGUAAGCGGGGAAUAACCCGUUGAAAGACGGACUAAUACCGCAUAAUACUAAAUUACUGCAUGGUAAUUUAUUUAAACAUUUAUGGCUUACAGAUGGGCAUGCGCAUGAUUAGCUAGUUGGAGAGGUAACGGCUCCCCAAGGCAACGAUCAUUAGGGGUUCUGAGAGGAAGGUCCCCCACACUGGUACUGAGACACGGACCAGACUCCUACGGGAGGCAGCAGUGAGGAAUAUUGGUCAAUGGACGAGAGUCUGAACCAGCCAAGUCGCGUGCAGGAAGAAUGUCCUUAAUGGAUUGUAAACUGCUUUUGCAGGGGAAUAAAGUGCAUCACGUGUGAUGUUUUGUAUGUACUCUGCGAAUAAGGAUCGGCUAACUCCGUGCCAGCCGCAGC